GAUGAAGAACGUAGCGAAAUGCGAUAAGUAAUGUGAAUUGCAGAAUUCAGUGAAUCAUCGAAUCUUUGAACGCACAUUGCGCCCGCCAGUAUUCUGGCGGGCAUGCCUGUUCGAGCGUCAUUAUCACCCCUCAAGCCCCCCUGGCUUGGUGUUGGACGGUUUUGGUGGGACGUGCAGCCUCUCACCCCUCCUAAAGACAAUGACGGCGGCGUCGUUGGGACCCCCGGUACACUGAGCUUCUUAACUGAGCACGUACUGGAUGCGGGUACGCGAUGCACGGUCUGCCUCCCCUUUAGGGAGAACUUUUUCUUAAGGUUGACCUCGGAUCAGGUAGGAAUACCCGCUGAACUUAAGCAUAUCAAUAAGCGGAGGA
This 373-nucleotide unclassified non-coding RNA is filed under the name soil metagenome. Its description in RNAcentral is "partial contains 5.8S ribosomal RNA, internal transcribed spacer 2, and large subunit ribosomal RNA". The stretch from base 1 to 120 matches the Rfam family "5.8S ribosomal RNA", at positions 35 to 154 of the family's 154-position model. The record is from RNAcentral.